RNAcentral lists this ribosomal RNA (465 nucleotides) under uncultured Klebsiella sp. RNAcentral's name for it is "bacterial SSU rRNA". It matches the Rfam family "Bacterial small subunit ribosomal RNA", at positions 338 to 795 of the family's 1533-position model. The record is from RNAcentral. Lineage: Bacteria; Pseudomonadati; Pseudomonadota; Gammaproteobacteria; Enterobacterales; Enterobacteriaceae.
CCUACGGGUGGCUGCAGUGGGGAAUAUUGCACAAUGGGCGCAAGCCUGAUGCAGCCAUGCCGCGUGUGUGAAGAAGGCCUUCGGGUUGUAAAGCACUUUCAGCGGGGAGGAAGGCGUUAAGGUUAAUAACCUUGUCGAUUGACGUUACCCGCAGAAGAAGCACCGGCUAACUCCGUGCCAGCAGCCGCGGUAAUACGGAGGGUGCAAGCGUUAAUCGGAAUUACUGGGCGUAAAGCGCACGCAGGCGGUCUGUCAAGUCGGAUGUGAAAUCCCCGGGCUCAACCUGGGAACUGCAUUCGAAACUGGCAGGCUAGAGUCUUGUAGAGGGGGGUAGAAUUCCAGGUGUAGCGGUGAAAUGUGUAGAGAUCUGGAGGAAUACCGGUGGCGAAGGCGGCCCCCUGGACAAAGACUGACGCUCAGGUGCGAAAGCGUGGGGAGCAAACAGGAUUAGAUACCCUAGUAGUC